This is a long non-coding RNA of Mauremys reevesii (Reeves's turtle), 467 nucleotides long. RefSeq lists it as uncharacterized. The transcript has 3 exons. NCBI's taxonomy places the organism in Eukaryota, Metazoa, Chordata, Testudines, Geoemydidae. The record is from RefSeq and is a predicted model, not a curated record.
GUGUGGCUGACGGGCUGGUUAAUGAAGACACCCUCAAACCAUCCUUAAGGAAGCCCUAAGCAAAAGUCCCCAGGAUCCAUUGACCAUUUCAAGAAAAAAGAUUGAAAAGCAGAGGAAUGUACCUGUGGGCCAACCUGGCUUGAAAAAGCCACCGUUGUUUCCAUGGACCUGAAAUCAGGAUUUAACUUAUGCAUUGCAAGAGGAGAAUUUUGAGGGAAAACACCUGUGUAUUAGCAAACAUGUUAACCUGAGCUAUGGGCGGAGCCAUUAUGUCAUCUUUUAGACAACUGGCUUAUUGUGCUAAUUUUGUCUUGCUGCUAGAACCUAUCCAGGGCUUGGGAACUCCCACCCCGUCACUUCUCUCUGCUCACUGGCAUCCUAUAUAAUCUAUUGUAAUCAACUGCUUAGCAGUGUCUCACUGAGUCUGAUAGGCGAAGUGAGACUCUGCCAGAACUGUGUGUAAUAAA